AACGUCUUUAUGCUAAUUAACGGUCAAUUACUGUGAGACCGGCAGUUACUUGCUUGACGAUCACCGGCUGUCAAAAUUUCAUGACCGCCACAGCCCUAGUUGCACCCCAUCCUUUUGCCAUCAGAACAGCCUCAAUUCUACGGGGCAUGGACUCUACAAGGUGUCGAAAGCAUUUCACAGGGAUGCUGGCCCAUGUUGACUCCAAUGCUUCCCCCAGUUGUCAAGUUGGCUGGAUGUCCUUUCGGCGGUGGACCAUUUUUUAUACACACGGGAAACUGUUGAGCGUGUGAACCCAGCAGCGUUGCAGUUCUUGACACAAACCGGUGCGCCUGGCACCUACUACCAUACCCUGUUCAAAGACACUUAAAUCUUUUGUCUUGCCCCUUCACCCUCUGAAUGGCACACAUACACAAUCCAUGUCUCAAUUGUCUCAAGGCUUAAAAUCCUUCUUUAACCUCUCGCCUCCCCUUCAUCUACACUGUGUGAAAUGGCUUUAAGCUUAACAAGUGACAUCAAUAAGGGAUCAUAGCUUUCACCUGGAUUGACCUGGUUAGUCAUAUCAUGGAAAGAACAGGUGUUCUCAAUGUUUUGUAUACUCAGUGUACAUUUGAUGAUUUGGGUUUGAGUUUUUUUGAAUGAAAACUUUAACAGCAUUGCUUUGACAGAUAUAGAUACAGUUCAAAUUGUAAAUUGUUUAACAAUUUAUAUAAAUAGAUUCAUAAUUCCUUUAAAACAGCACACUUUCAUAACCAAAUAGCCCAUUUAAAAAUAAAUGUAUAAUUGGACAGCAGAUGAGCAUUUUAAACUAUUGUAAUGUAAUAACAUAAAAUGAUCAAAACAACUAUAUGGUAAAUAUUUAAUAUACCCAUUGUAAAAAACAAAAGUUUGUGAUGCUGAGUUAUUCACAUUAUGUUGCUGUAAACCAAAUGCUGACUUCUCUUUUUCAGGUUUAUAACAUGAAAGAUGUGCCGGGUAUGUGUUUAAAUUUGUCACACAGCAAUCCCAUUUGUGUGUACCGGUAUGUCACAAAUGUUAUAACUGCUUUGACUCACUAUUGAUGUGGUCACUGAUUGGUCUAUUUUCUUUCUAGAUGCAGAGCCCCUCCCACAUAUACCUGUGGUGGAGAUGUUUUCAGAAUAUGAGGAAGAGGAUCAGAUACCACAGUUCCCCCCCAAUUCUCUCACCAUCUCCGGAGUCCCUCAAAGGAGAUGAGGACUCACAGAACUCAAAUGUCGUGGGCUGGUUCGUGACGGGCCUCGGCCUCAAGAUGCCACAGCCUGUCACGAGAUCCAGAGAUGAUGUUGAAGUUAUGCCGAAUGGGGGGGUGGGAGUGCUGAGAUCCCCUUAAACAAAAGGAGAAAGAAGACUGAGGAACCGUGAGAGAGACUGAGACUGAGAGCAAAGAGAUAGAGGCAGAAAAACAGACUUACCGACAUAGAUGAUUGUCGACAUUUAUACAGCUCCACUGAGCAACCUGGCAGCUGUGAGACAUCGCUUAAAAAAUAUGUUUAAUUUACCUUACUCUUUAUGGAAUGCAGAUAUUUUUGUUUGAUUUUAAUUGUGUAUAGUCAAUGUAUUAAAAUGAACUGUUUGUCAGUUAAUGUCAGUUGUUCAACUCUUGUCGAUAUGUAGCAAGAAAUGGGUCUUGUCUUCAUUGUAGUAAUCUUUGAAGUAAUUUGGAUGCAUUAAGAGAUCAAGUAUAUUAGAAAAUACAUACAGACACAUAGAGCUAUGAGGCAACAUUGUGACUCAUAGUUUUUGUACAUGAAAUAUACCAUAUUAAACUACUUUUUUGAAGGUAAAGAUUAUUGCUGCCCUAAAAAGCUAACACAAAAACCACUUAAUCAUAUUGUACAUGUUUUCCCUCGUGACCUAUUCUUAUCGCCUUGAACUACGAAUGUGGCCUAAAGUUGUAAUUAUGUUUAUUUUGAUCUGAUAGAUUUUUUUUGGUAUGAAAUCCACAAAAGAGGAUUUGACAAACCGAGUCAAGGGAGUCAAGUUAUUACAAAUAAGUUCAUAAAUUAUGACAUCAUGCCUAAAAAGUAUCCCUGACAGUAUAAUAACGUGUUGUGUAAUAUUAUAAAAAUAAUAUAAAGAUGGCCUCCCGGGUGGCGCAGUGGUCUAGGGCACUGCAUAACAGUGCCAGCUGUGCCACCAGAGACUCGGCUUUCGACCUUCGUCUCUCCUGAGCCCGUACGGGAGUUGUAGCAAUGAGACAAGAUAGUAACUACUAACAAUUGGAUACCACAAAAAAUUGGGGAGAAAAGGGG
Molecule: long non-coding RNA, 2270 nt
Organism: Oncorhynchus tshawytscha (Chinook salmon)
Lineage: Eukaryota; Metazoa; Chordata; Actinopteri; Salmoniformes; Salmonidae
Source: Ensembl